Lathyrus oleraceus (garden pea) is the source of this 431-nucleotide long non-coding RNA. RefSeq lists it as uncharacterized. The transcript is spliced from 2 exons. Lineage: Eukaryota; Viridiplantae; Streptophyta; Magnoliopsida; Fabales; Fabaceae. The record is from RefSeq and is a predicted model, not a curated record.
AGUGCCGCCUUAGGGAAAGGUUGAUUCCAAUGGCGUCUGUGCUGCAUUUUUGGAGGAGCGGUUAAACAUGGGUCUGAACUUCAUUCUUUCUGCCGAGCUUGAUCACAAGAAAAAAGACUACAAAUUUGGAUUUGGUUUGACUGUUGGAGAAUAAAAUAGCAUGACUAGAGCUGUAUUUCCUUUUACAUUAGCCAGCCUAGCCUAGCAAGUUUUCUUGCUUCAUUUUACUUGUUGGAGAUUUUUCUUUUUGGGAAAAAGAAACACAGGAGGAAUAUAUCAUUUGUGUCGGCAAACAUCAUUUAAUCUACAAGUUGGCCUAAAAAUACUUCAAAUUUGUUGCCAUGUUUUCCCUGGAGGGAGAUGUAAAGUGAUAAUAGAUGACCAUGCAUAUUAUAAGAUUCAUUUCAACAUAAUGCUCAUGUUUGCUAAUA